GGCCUCGUAGCUCAGCUGAUAGAGUGUUCGCUGUAAAGAAAACGUAGGUGGCGUCCAUGGGUGGGUUCGAAUCCCACCGAAGCUA
RNAcentral lists this transfer RNA (85 nucleotides) under Echinostoma caproni. It matches the Rfam family "tRNA". Rfam says of the family: Transfer RNA (tRNA) molecules are approximately 80 nucleotides in length. Their secondary structure includes four short double-helical elements and three loops (D, anti-codon, and T loops). The record is from Rfam by way of RNAcentral. Lineage: Eukaryota; Metazoa; Platyhelminthes; Trematoda; Plagiorchiida; Echinostomatidae.